GAUAGAGAAAAGAAUGAAGGAACAUAAGAAGGAUAUCUUGCAGGCUAAACUUAAUACAGCCCUAGCAUGUGAGGCAUAUAGUUGGAAUAUUACUGUAAAAUGGGAUGAAGUUAAAUGCAUGAGACAGCUAGAGAAAGGUGUGCAGCCGAAUGUGAUAGAAUCUGUGGAAAUUUUAAGACGAGCAGAGCGAGAAACCUUGAUUAAUGACAAAUUAGCUUGAGAACCAUCUACAGCUUGGAAAUAUCUGCUUAAUAGAAGGAUAGAUGAUUGAUGCAGAGGAUUGUAUAAUGGAGUUGCGAAGUUCUAGCUUAGAAAGGUUUAAACCUAUGUUAUGAAGAUAAUUAUACUUUUGAUGUAAUUAUAGAGACUUUAAGGAUAAGCAUAAUAUUUCAUUAGUUAUUACUUUAAUGUUUUUUGUUUUAUUUUACUUGUGUUUUUUAUGUUAUGAAGAUCUUUAAGAUGUAAAUGUCCU
This 472-nucleotide long non-coding RNA is filed under the name Androctonus crassicauda. Lineage: Eukaryota; Metazoa; Arthropoda; Arachnida; Scorpiones; Buthidae. The record is from RNAcentral.